This 274-nucleotide ribosomal RNA is filed under the name uncultured bacterium. Its description in RNAcentral is "partial 16S ribosomal RNA". It matches the Rfam family "Bacterial small subunit ribosomal RNA", at positions 523 to 796 of the family's 1533-position model. The record is from RNAcentral.
ACACGGGGGGCGCAAGCGUUAUUCGGAAUUAUUGGGCGUAAAGGGCGCGUAGGCGGUCUUGUCGGUCAGAUGUGAAAGCCCAGGGCUCAACCCUGGACGUGCAUUUGAAACAGCAAGACUUGAGUACGGGAGAGGAAAGCGGAAUUCCUGGUGUAGAGGUGAAAUUCGUAGAUAUCAGGAGGAACACCGAUGGCGAAGGCAGCUUCCUGGACCGAUACUGACGCUGAGGCGCGAAGGCGUGGGUAGCGAACAGGAUUAGAUACCCCGGUAGUCC